This 589-nucleotide ribosomal RNA is filed under the name uncultured bacterium. RNAcentral's name for it is "bacterial SSU rRNA". It matches the Rfam family "Bacterial small subunit ribosomal RNA", at positions 338 to 943 of the family's 1533-position model. The record is from RNAcentral.
CCUACGGGAGGCAGCAGUAGGGAAUCUUGUGCAAUGGGCGAAAGCCUGACACAGCAACUCCGCGUGCGGGAAGAAGGCCUUAGGGUUGUAAACCGCUUUUGGCAGGAACGAAAAUGACGGUACCUGCAGAAUAAGGUGCGGCCAACUACGUGCCAGCAGCCGCGGUGACACGUAGGCACCAAGCGUUGUCCGGAUUUAUUGGGCGUAAAGAGCUCGUAGGCGGUUCAGUUAGUCGGGUGUGAAAACUCUGGGCUUAACCCGGAGACGCCACUCGAUACUGCUGGGCUAGAAUUCGGUAGGGGAGUGGGGAAUUCCUGGUGUAGCGGUGAAAUGCGCAGAUAUCAGGAGGAACACCGGUGGCGAAGGCGCCACUCUGGGCCGACAUUGACGCUGAGGAGCGAAAGCGUGGGUAGCAAACAGGAUUAGAUACCCUGGUAGUCCACGCCGUAAACGGUGGGCACUAGGUGUGGGUUCCAACCAACGGAAUCCGUGCCGUCGCAAACGCAUUAAGUGCCCCGCCUGGGGAGUACGGCCGCAAGGUUAAAACUCAAAUGAAUUGACGGCUGAGACNGCAGCGACACGAGGAGAG